This 423-nucleotide ribosomal RNA is filed under the name Acanthamoeba sp. RNAcentral's name for it is "SSU rRNA". It matches the Rfam family "Eukaryotic small subunit ribosomal RNA", at positions 750 to 1125 of the family's 1831-position model. Lineage: Eukaryota; Discosea; Longamoebia; Acanthamoebidae. The record is from RNAcentral.
UGGCCCAGAUCGUUUACCGUGAAAAAAUUAGAGUGUUCAAAGCAGGCAGAUCCAAUUUUCUGCCACCGAAUACAUUAGCAUGGGAUAAUGGAAUAGGACCCUGUCCUCCUAUUUUCAGUUGGUUUUGGCAGCGCGAGGACUAGGGUAAUGAUUAAUAGGGAUAGUUGGGGGCAUUAAUAUUUAAUUGUCAGAGGUGAAAUUCUUGGAUUUAUGAAAGAUUAACUUCUGCGAAAGCAUCUGCCAAGGAUGUUUUCAUUAAUCAAGAACGAAAGUUAGGGGAUCGAAGACGAUCAGAUACCGUCGUAGUCUUAACCAUAAACGAUGCCGACCAGCGAUUAGGAGACGUUGAAUACAAAACACCACCAUCGGUUGCGGUCRUCCUUGGCGUCUCGGUUCGGCCGGGGCGCGGGGAYGCUAGCCCGU